CCUAGGGAGGCAGCAGUGGGGAAUAUUGCACAAUGGGCGCAAGCCUGAUGCAGCCAUGCCGCGUGUAUGAAGAAGGCCUUCGGGUUGUAAAGUACUUUCAGCGGGGAGGAAGGCGUUGAGGUUAAUAACCUCAGCGAUUGACGUUACCCGCAGAAGAAGCACCGGCUAACUCCGUGCCAGCAGCCGCGGUAA
RNAcentral lists this ribosomal RNA (192 nucleotides) under uncultured Enterobacter sp. Its description in RNAcentral is "partial 16S ribosomal RNA". It matches the Rfam family "Bacterial small subunit ribosomal RNA", at positions 338 to 523 of the family's 1533-position model. The record is from RNAcentral. Lineage: Bacteria; Pseudomonadati; Pseudomonadota; Gammaproteobacteria; Enterobacterales; Enterobacteriaceae.